Molecule: non-coding RNA, 34 nt
Filed under: Prorocentrum micans
Lineage: Eukaryota; Dinophyceae; Prorocentrales; Prorocentraceae
Source: RNAcentral
GUUUUUUUUUUUUUUUUUUUUUUUUUUUUUUGAU